This 440-nucleotide ribosomal RNA is filed under the name uncultured bacterium. RNAcentral describes it as "partial 16S ribosomal RNA". It matches the Rfam family "Bacterial small subunit ribosomal RNA", at positions 338 to 795 of the family's 1533-position model. The record is from RNAcentral.
CCUACGGGAGACAGCAGUGGGGGAUAUUGCACAAUGGGGGGAACCCUGAUGCAGCGACGCCGCGUGGGUGAAGAAGCGCCUCGGCGCGUAAAGCCCUGUCAGCAGGGAAGAAAAUGACGGUACCUGAAGAAGACGCCCCGGCUAACUACGUGCCAGCAGCCGCGGUAAUACGUAGGGGGCAAGCGUUAUCCGGAUUUACUGGGUGUAAGGGGGGCGCAGACGGCGAUGCAAGCCAGGAGUGAAAGCCCGGGGCCCAACCCCGGGACUGCUCUUGGAACUGCGUGGCUGGAGUGCAGGAGGGGCAGGCGGAAUUCCUGGUGUAGCGGUGAAAUGCGUAGAUAUCAGGAGGAACACCGGUGGCGAAGGCGGCCUGCUGGACUGCAACUGACGUUGAGGCCCGAAGGCGUGGGGAGCAAACGGGAUUAGAUACCCCGGUAGUC